GCUAACACAUGCAAGUCGAACGAGCUUAUAUUAUAAAUAUAAGUUAAGUAGCGGACGGGUGAGGAACAUGUAAGAACCUACCUUUAGGAGGGGGAUAACUGCUGGAAACGGCGGCUAAAACCCCAUAAACUGCGGAGUAAAAAGUGAAAACUACCUAAAGAUGGGCUUGCAUCUGAUUAGCUUGUUGGUGAAUUAAUUGUUUACCAAGGCGAUGAUCAGUAGUUGGUCUAAGAGGAUGAUCAACCACACUGGGACUGAGACACGGCCCAGACCUCUACGGAGGGCAGCAGUGAGGAAUUUUCCGCAAUGGGCGCAAGCCUGACGGGGCAAUGCCGCGUGGAUGAUGAAGGCUUUUGAGUCGUAAAGUCCUUUUCUUAGUAAAGAAAAUAGACGGUAGCUAAGGAAUAAGCAUCGGCUAAUUCCGUGCCAGCAGCCGCGGUAAUACGGAAGAUGCAAGCGUUAUUCGGAAUUAUUGGGCGUAAAGCGUCUGUAGGUGGCUUUUUAAGUCUGCUGUUAAAUAUCAAGGCUUAACCUUGAAAAAGCGGUACGAAACUAAAAAGCUCGAGUUUAGUAGAGGUAAAGGGAAUUCUCGGUGUAGUG
RNAcentral lists this ribosomal RNA (600 nucleotides) under uncultured bacterium. RNAcentral's name for it is "bacterial SSU rRNA". It matches the Rfam family "Bacterial small subunit ribosomal RNA", at positions 46 to 680 of the family's 1533-position model. The record is from RNAcentral.